Unclassified non-coding RNA from Ictidomys tridecemlineatus (thirteen-lined ground squirrel), 104 nucleotides. Its record names the gene 7SK. It matches the Rfam family "7SK RNA". Rfam says of the family: 7SK was discovered as an abundant small nuclear RNA in the mid-70s but a possible function has only recently been suggested. Two independent studies have found that 7SK RNA binds the CDK9/cyclin T complex (known as elongation factor P-TEFb). The record is from Ensembl. NCBI's taxonomy places the organism in Eukaryota, Metazoa, Chordata, Mammalia, Rodentia, Sciuridae.
AUGUGAGGGUGAUCUGGUUGCGAGAUCUGUCACCCCAUUGAUUGCCAGUGUUGAUUCGGCUGAUCUGGCUGGCUAGGCAGGUGUGCCCUUGCUCCCUCACAUAU